UCGACUAGAGGAGGCACCUAACUCAUGUUGGGCAUGCUCACUCAUAUGAAUAUGUAGUUGAAUAACAGAAUCUAUGGUUUCCAUCUUCAGGUAUCAUGAAAACUCAUUCGAGCUAUCACUCUGCAUGACAUACUCUCAUUCUCUCUUUGCCCUAAUAGUUUGGGCCUCCUUUCUCUCAUCCAACAAAGUAAAUAUCAAUAGUGGUAGUAUAGACAUCGAUAAUGUAAGGAAAAUUAAAA
This 239-nucleotide long non-coding RNA is filed under the name Capsicum annuum. Its description in RNAcentral is "long non-coding RNA (CANN_LNC010129)". The record is from RNAcentral. Lineage: Eukaryota; Viridiplantae; Streptophyta; Magnoliopsida; Solanales; Solanaceae.